Molecule: ribosomal RNA, 254 nt
Filed under: uncultured bacterium
Lineage: Bacteria
Description: partial 16S ribosomal RNA
Rfam family: Bacterial small subunit ribosomal RNA
Source: RNAcentral
CACGUAGGCACCAAGCGUUGUCCGGAUUUAUUGGGCGUAAAGAGCUCGUAGGCGGUUCGGUAAGUCGGGUGUGAAAACUCUGGGCUCAACCCAGAGCCGCCACCCGAUACUGCUGUGACUUGAGUUCGGUAGGGGAGCGGGGAAUUCCUGGUGUAGCGGUGAAAUGCGCAGAUAUCAGGAGGAACACCAGUGGCUAAGGCGCCGCUCUGGGCCGAGACUGACGCUGAGGAGCGAAAGCUAGGGGAGCAAACGGG